GACGAACGCUGGCGGCGUGCUUAACACAUGCAAGUCGAACGGAAAGGCCCUGCUUUUGUGGGGUGCUCGAGUGGCGAACGGGUGAGUAACACGUGAGUAACCUGCCCUUGACUUUGGGAUAACUUCAGGAAACUGGGGCUAAUACCGGAUAGGAGCUCCUGCUGCAUGGUGGGGGUUGGAAAGUUUCGGCGGUUGGGGAUGGACUCGCGGCUUAUCAGCUUGUUGGUGGGGUAGUGGCUUACCAAGGCUUUGACGGGUAGCCGGCCUGAGAGGGUGACCGGCCACAUUGGGACUGAGAUACGGCCCAGACUCCUACGGGAGGCAGCAGUGGGGAAUAUUACACAAUGGGCGGAAGCCUGAUGCAGCAACGCCGCGUGCGGGAUGGCGGCCUUCGGGUUGUAAACCGCUUUCGCCUGUGACGAAGCGUGAGUGACGGUAAUGGGUAAAGAAGCACCGGCUAACUACGUG
Molecule: ribosomal RNA, 468 nt
Filed under: uncultured bacterium
Lineage: Bacteria
Description: partial 16S ribosomal RNA
Rfam family: Bacterial small subunit ribosomal RNA
Source: RNAcentral